This 437-nucleotide ribosomal RNA is filed under the name uncultured bacterium. RNAcentral's name for it is "partial 16S ribosomal RNA". It matches the Rfam family "Bacterial small subunit ribosomal RNA", at positions 339 to 795 of the family's 1533-position model. The record is from RNAcentral.
CUACGGGUGGCUCCAGUGAGGAAUAUUGCACAAUGGGGGGAACCCUGAUGCAGCAACGCCGCGUGGAGGAUGACGCAUUUCGGUGUGUAAACUCCUUUUAUAUGUCAAGAAAAUGACGGUAGCAUAUGAAUAAGCGCCGGCUAACUCCGUGUCAGCAGCCGCGGUAAUACGGAGGGCGCAAGCGUUACUCGGAAUCACUGGGCGUAAAGGACGCGUAGGCGGGUUGAAAAGUCAGGUGUGAAAGCCUACAGCUUAACUGUAGAACUGCACUUGAAACUCUCAAUCUAGAGUAUGGGAGGGGCAGAUGGAAUUAGUGGUGUAGGGGUAAAAUCCGUAGAUAUCACUAGGAAUACCUAAAGCGAAGGCGAUCUGCUGGAACAUUACUGACGCUAAGGCGUGAAAGCGUGGGGAGCAAACAGGAUUAGAUCCCCGUAGUC